RNAcentral lists this long non-coding RNA (1125 nucleotides) under Chrysemys picta bellii (western painted turtle). Its description in RNAcentral is "lncRNA (ENSCPBG00000016550.1)". Lineage: Eukaryota; Metazoa; Chordata; Testudines; Emydidae. The record is from RNAcentral.
GAUUUUUUUUUUUAAAUAAAGGCAAGGGUGCAGAGAAGGGUGCUACCCUUUUAAGGCCACACAGAGGGGAGCGGGUGAGACAGGCACAGGGCUGGCAGACUUGGUUACAGCCCUGGUGUGAGCUGGCCCGAGCCAUGGCCUCUUCUGCCCAAGAUGAACUUGGCGCAUUCUCGUUUCUCUGCCCAGCAUCUGUGGCUGCGGCAUCAUGAGGCACCUGCAUCCAACCUUGCAAGCAGCAAUCCUAUCACCAUGGUCUUGGCUUUGCUGUCUCCAGCGCUGCCAGAAGAGCUGGGCCUGCAGAUCCCGGGCGUUAAAAUGCCUCUGGAGCCAGUUCCUGGGGGUGGCCCAGAUCUGCUGGCUGAUACAGAGAGGGAUGGGCCUGUGCCCCCACAAUCCCCUUUCAGAACACCCCUGCCCCAGUGCAGAAGUGGGGAGGACUCCUUGCACCUCCAAUGCUCUGUGUACCCCAGGGCGGUGCCAUGUGCUGGUGCAUUUAGAUUGAGACAGGGGCCUGGCACACCGCACUCUGGCCCUCCCCAUGUGGGAGUUGGCAGGGGCAUGGUUACCCCUUUGGAGCAGUUGUUGCUCCUGUGUAUUGCACUUAUAUUCUGCUCUCCGUGUUGUGAGCCCCGUCCCUUGUGUUCCUACAUCCAACAGCCGCUCCAAUUACCAGGGAGCAUUUCUAGGCUCUCCUCCCGGGAGUGUCGUGUUCCCGGCGCAGCACAUCCUGCUAGCUUGCAGCAAGGAUGGAGAGCUUCGUCCAACACUGCACGAUCUCCACGCCCUGCCUGCCCCCUCCAUUACUCGGCUCCAGCCUUCCCCUCCCUGCAGGUUCUAGACUCCACAUCUUCCCUCUGUGUACUCGACUCCAGACUUCCCCUCCCUGCAGGUUCUAGACUCCCCACCCAUUCCUCCCUUCUCAUCCUCCACUCCCUGCCCACUCCUUCCUCCACAUCCAUGGCUCCUAGCAGGUGGCAUGGGUUCCCCACAGUGCAUUGAUGCUAGAGAGCUGCACAGCGCCCUGCUUGCAUCACAAGGCCUAGUCCUUGGAGCGUGAGCUCUUCGGGGCAGGGACUCAUAUGGAUACAGCACCUAGCACAAUGGGGCCCUAGUGCGGGCUUGAUG